Pogonomyrmex barbatus (red harvester ant) is the source of this 1497-nucleotide unclassified non-coding RNA. The record is from RefSeq and is a predicted model, not a curated record. Lineage: Eukaryota; Metazoa; Arthropoda; Insecta; Hymenoptera; Formicidae.
UUAUAAUAAUAAUUCUAUAGUUUGCUUUAAUGUACAUCUGCGAAUCUGUUUAGUUUGAUUUCGCUGCUUCGUGCAAUCGUACAAAAUAAGUGUGACGUUUGUGUGCUUUUGGUGGCGAUCAAAAUAAUCAUGCGAUAUAAUUCACAAAGCGCAAAAAAAUCGAAUCAUCUAAAAUCCGAUUAAACUUUAUAAUAUAUCAGGCAUAAUUUCAGCACAGGGAUUGGUCUAAUGAUGAGGAGAGUGUUAAACCGUUAGACUCCAUUUUAAAAACCGACGAAACGAAAACAUCGUGCGAAUUUUAGAGGCGUCCGCGGAUGGAGACAUUGGAAGACAAUCGAAGAUGCAAGGAAACUACUUAGCACCAGGCAAGCCGAUAUUUUUCAAUACUUCUGUCUUCUUACGGGGUGGCCAACGAACUUUCGGCAAUCCAUUGAGUUAUCUCGGUGGUCCGAAAUUACCACCGAGAAACAAAUCUUCUGUCGAAUCGAUAUUAUCAUUGGAUUGAUUAUGGAUCAUUCGUACUUUGCUUUAAGGGACUAUUACGUACAUUCACAAAAGCAACGAAUCGUAUUUCUCAAUCGAGAACGGAAAGUCUCGAACUUGUUGAGUGUCAAAUUCAUAAAUAUAAUUCACAACAAAUUUAUAAGUUAUUAUUUUAAAUUUUUAUAUCAAGCACAUUAAAAUAGAAAAAAAGCAACCGUGCCAAAUUGUCCAAACAGCACAAAAGUCUAAAAUAUACGUCAGAAAGAUGAUUGUGUAUAUUUGAAAUAUACUUUAGACGUCUCAUGAACUUUCAAAUAAUGAAGUUAAUCGUUUAAUCUAAUAAUUAUUAUAAAAAAUCAAUGUUCAUUAGAUAAUUUAAUUAAUGUUAAAAGGAAGAACGCAUUUUAUACACUUAACACAUUUGAUAUUUUCCGUUUUCAGCUCAUCUUUCAUUAUCACAGAGUUAUCCGCUUCUCGAAAGGCUCGUGUUAAUAGCUCGCGCCGAGCUAAAUAGUUUCAUCAAAAACAGAUUCGCUCGGACCAAUAUUCGCGAUCAGCGAAUUUUACUCGUGACAAGACGUUAUAGUUGCUGAUAAGAAUUUAAAAGGUGAUAAUGAGCUUAACGAUAAUAGCUAGUGAUCGUGACGAACUCGAUAUAUUCUCUUUGCAGCUGAUAGAAGCUGUCGUGCUCAAAUAUAUCGUUCCAUACAAUCUCAUGAGGGUGCUUGUAAAAAGAAUACCUUAUAAGUCCGUUAGAAUAAUUUCUUAUUUCUAUUAUUGUAAAGCGAACUCAUAAAAUAAUUUUUCCAUUCUUGAAGAAUCUCAAAAAUAUAAACAAACUCACUCUUUCUUUAUCCUUCUCCUUCCAAAUUUUAUUAUUAGAAAUUAGUACAUCACAAACAAACUGAAGGCAAUUUUGAUCGAAUUAUGAUUAACUCAAUUGGCGAUUAAGUCAAAUCAAAGCUUAAAUUUCGGAUUAUAAUUUAUUGUCCGAUUUACUCCUUUAUUUUGUUA